UUCCCAUAGGAAAACAUUUUACAAACACGGGUAAAAUCCAAAGCUUUUUUUUGGAAAUUGUCUUACCCAUUUCUCUAGCGUAAGACAUUUUCCCUUUCUCCUUUCUCUUCUUCAACCUUCUUCAACCUUCUUCUAUUAUCUCUAUCUGCUAAGGCCGGCAUACCGCAAAAGAUUCAGCCCUUUGCUAAGAGUGGUUCCAGUUGAUUUACCUCCCCAUUUUCGAGUUUUCUUCUAUCCACUCUUUUCUUUUUUUCUCAAUUUUCCUAUGGUUGAAUGGAAGCCUGGAAGGGAAGGAGUGGGAAUUGAAAUUUUUUAAUUUAAUCAUUAAAUUACAAAUAAUUGACUUCCAAUGAAUUUUUAAUAUGAGGUUAAGUCCAUUUUGGUCUAAUAUAUAAUAUUAAAAAAAUUUCUUGUUUUCUCUUUUGAACUUCAUUUUUAAAGUUCCAAAAGAAGCUUCGUUUUGAAGAAGGUUAUAUGUUAGACUAAGCUGGGUUUUAUUUAUUUAUUUAUUUAUUACUGAGUUUUCGUUCUUUUUUCUUCUGUUAAUUACGCGUUUAACUUUUUUUAAAUUAAUUUCGGUUUUUAUUUUAAUUGUUUAGUUACUUGAGUUUAAAAAAAUCGUUUUCAGGCGUUUGAUUUUGUCGAUGGAGGAUGGUGGUUGUGCGAGUCUCGUCGGAGCUGAAAUUCAUGGAUUUCAUACAUUGCAAGAUUUGGAUGUUAAAAACAUGUUGGAAGAAGCCAAGUCAAGAUGGUUACGCCCAAAUGAGAUUCAUGCUAUAGUGUGCAACCAUAGAUAUUUCUCCAUUUAAGCGAAGCCAGUGAACAUGCCAAAAAGUGGUACUAUUGUAUUGUUUGAUCGAAAGAUGCUGAGGAACUUUCGAAAAGAUGGUUAUAAUUGGGAAAAUAAAAAGGAUGGGAAGACUAUUAAAGAAGCUCAUGAACACUUAAAAGUUGGUGAUAAAGAAAGGAUUCAUGUAUAUUAUGCACAUGGUGAAGAUAACUCAACCUUUGUUCGCAGGUGUUAUUGGCUGCUAGAUAAGUCUUUGGAGCAAAUGGUUCUUGUUCAUUAUCGUGAAACAAAGGAGGUUUCACUAGCCACACAUUCAAAUUCAAGUUUGUUAACAGAUCAGUCUACUCCUUUGCUUGUUACAAAAGAGUUUGAUUCUGGAAUUGCUAAUACAUAUUCUGAAGAACCAGGUGAGAGUGUUAAUGUUAGAAAUCAUGAAAUGAAGCUUCUUGAGAUUAAUACACUUGAAUGGGAUGAGCUUCUGGUGGCAAAUGGUGCUAAUGAUUCGAUUGCAUCUAGAGGAGGUAUUGUAUUAGUUUCCAGUAUAAGCAGUAACACUUAUUUAGUUGCUGAAUUGUAGACAUAUUUUGGUCGUGAUAGCAGACAAUGUCUUACUUUGACCAACAGAACCAAAUGGCAGUAAAUGACUUCUCAAAUUAUAUCAAGAAAAGAGGAAUCCGGAAUUAAAUCUGGGGAAAAGCAAAAUUAUCGAGUAAUCGAUCCGAUUCGUCAAUUUCGAGUACGAGGUAAGUUCAUAAGUAAAUAAAUGUUUUUGAAUUAAAAUGUAUAUGUUUUAUACAUUGCCGAAUUUGAUUCGUAUAUAGAUAUACAUUGCCAAAUUUGAUUUGUAUAUGGUUAUACAUUGCCGAAUUUGAUUUGUAUAUGGAUAUUCAUUGCUGAUUUUGAUUUGUAUAUAGAUAUACAUUGCCAAAUUUGAUCCGUA
RNA transcript from Gossypium raimondii (Peruvian cotton), 1730 nucleotides. It is a transcript of the gene named calmodulin-binding transcription activator 5, with no coding region annotated. NCBI's taxonomy places the organism in Eukaryota, Viridiplantae, Streptophyta, Magnoliopsida, Malvales, Malvaceae. The record is from RefSeq and is a predicted model, not a curated record. The transcript is spliced from 8 exons.